AAAUUGUUAAAGAAUAUUCUUAUCUAAGGAAAUCUUAACACACAGUGCCAAUCAAAAAUACUGGCAUCUUUUCUUGUGUUUCUAUUAAAAAUAAUCAGUCUGACAUUGCUAAUAUAGUAUUAAAAUGGCGAAAAUUACUAUAGGCUGUAUGUAGACCACGGGACGAGUUCCUGAAUCCAUUAUUUAUGAAUCUUGAAAGCUUUUAUCCCCUGUUUUGAUUUAUAAUAUACUGAUUAAAGUAAAUCAGUAUAUUGCUUAUUACUUAUUAUAUUAAAUUAUAAUAUUACUGAUUAAAAGUAACUAACGGAAUGUAAAACAUUGGAGCGCAAACUAGCACAGCACGAGAAAUUGAAAUUGAAAUAAGUUUAUUCGGGUAAAAUACACAAAGGGAUGAGGUAGCUCAAGCUAUUCUCACCCCGUUCAGUACAUCGUGUUAAUACAUACAUAGACACACAUCACAAGCAAUAAACGUAUUACCGAACAUUCUGAGAGAUAAACAUAUACAUUAACUAGCACAGCACGAGGAUAUGGUCGUUAAGCACUGUGACGUCACCAAUAACGCUGUGUUGGGCAAGAAGGUCAGGAGCGGCCGGCGCCGCCUCAGUGUCGGGCUGACAGCCAGCAGACGUAGUUCCUUGGGAGGUGUCCCGCUUCUUACAUCAUUUGCAGCUACACCGGUCAUCAGGUGGGUGUGGAUUUCUGUAAUGUAAUUCGCGGAACCAAUUUCAUCUGAAUUACUUUGGUUAAGACCGGGUAUUUGGGUCUGGCGUGACAAUGGCCACGAGUCUUCUUGAGAAAUAACUUUGUGAACGGAGGACUAGUCAGGCGCACAAGGCAUGGAACUAGUUCUGACGUGACGUAGUUGCAAGUCUCGAUAGAGGUGGUUGGACGGUGUUGAACACGGCGCCUGACAACGUUGCAGGAAUAUCUGAAAGAAAA
This is a non-coding RNA of Procambarus clarkii (red swamp crayfish), 939 nucleotides long. NCBI's taxonomy places the organism in Eukaryota, Metazoa, Arthropoda, Malacostraca, Decapoda, Cambaridae. The record is from RefSeq and is a predicted model, not a curated record.